RNAcentral lists this long non-coding RNA (516 nucleotides) under Phoenix dactylifera (date palm). Its description in RNAcentral is "long non-coding RNA (PDAC_LNC016029)". Lineage: Eukaryota; Viridiplantae; Streptophyta; Magnoliopsida; Arecales; Arecaceae. The record is from RNAcentral.
ACAAUUCCAGCAAUAUGCAGUAGAUACAAAAGGCAAGAUCCGUCACAAUUUGUUAGUGCCCACACUUCACACUAGUGGGAAUAAGGAUGUCCAUGAAAUAUACAUGUAGCUCAAGGAUAAGAAGAUAUUUUACAGUCAUCUAUCCUAGACCUUGUACAUACUUUAAUUAUAAAUGCAGAUGAACAUCCGAACCAACAAAAGAAGCAACACUACAAGUUCUCUUCCUCCUAAAUCCCAAAUUUCCAAUGAGAAUCAUAGUCCCAACAACCACUUUUCUGAUCCUCCUUAUUUUGACACAUUAUAAUCGUAAUAUAUUAAAUUGACAAGAAAGAGAAAUCUCUCCUAUCUCCAAAAAUCAGAAAAAUUGUGAAGAAAAUCAAAGAAAAAGCAGCCAACUUGGCUGCCACAUCAUCUUGUGCUUCAGUAUGCUAUUAAUAAACAUAGUGAUCUUAACUAAGCUUUGUCUUUAAUUAGACAUCAGUUAUCAAAAAUAUUACCAUAUUAAAUAAAAGCUUU